UCUGCCUGGGGGUAGCAUAUAUCGCACUUCAGAAGAAGAGGCGUAUCCAGAAAGACAGCCCUUCUUGUCGCCUGAGUCAUGCGUAUGAAAACGUCGGGGAAGCAGACUUCAGAGCUACCGCACCUGCAUCCUCUGACUCGGACCAUAUAUACACUGGCCUGAUGUUUACUGAUACAUCCACCUACAGCACCUUGAACAAGCCCUGAAGGAGGCAUGUGUGCUGAGGGUUAGGAUGCUGUAUCUGUGAUCAUAAAGUUGCUGUUUCACAUCCCGGGGGUGACAGAGUGAUUGCCCCAUUGGGUGCCUGAGUGAGGCCCUUAGCCCCAACUGCUCCAGAGCCGGCCUUCACAAGAACGUGCAUUGCUUUGGAUAAAAGCAUCUGCUAAUCAUUCCAUUAGGUUUUUUUUAAUGCAGGAUUUAUCGCUUGCUUCCUGUCAGGGUCAGCUCCUGUUGUCCCAGUCUGUGUCCUUUUCCCCGUUGUCCUAGUCUGUAGUGUGCAUGUCCUUGUCAGCCGCAUGGCUCAACAAGCUGCGUGUGCAGCUGCCCAUUAACCUUCUGUUAUAUGUUCGAAUCCCACCUCCUCUGUUUUUGUAUUUUGUUUCAUUGUAUGAAUUUUUCUAGUUUCUGUGGCUUCCGGUUUGUCUCUGUGCCAGUGCUUCUACUUGUCUGUUAUUCCCCAGUGUUAUUAAAAUUAUAUAAUAAAUA
Molecule: long non-coding RNA, 705 nt
Organism: Brienomyrus brachyistius
Lineage: Eukaryota; Metazoa; Chordata; Actinopteri; Osteoglossiformes; Mormyridae
Exons: 6
Source: RefSeq, a predicted model, not a curated record